Physcomitrium patens is the source of this 1877-nucleotide RNA transcript. It is a transcript of the gene named RNA exonuclease 4, with no coding region annotated. The record is from RefSeq and is a predicted model, not a curated record. Lineage: Eukaryota; Viridiplantae; Streptophyta; Bryopsida; Funariales; Funariaceae.
UCGUCGGCACCUCCUCUCCUCUCUUCUCCUCUUUUCUCCUUCUCCGUUCUCUCUUUCUCGGCUCCCCGUCGCACCAAUGCAAUGCAAUGCAAUGCAUUCCAUUUCCACCUUCAUUCCUUCUCUUAAUGCUUUACCCUAAUAUGCAAAUCAAUAUUCUCUUUUACUAUGCUUCCUCCUCGUGCAUCUGCUCGCCUUCUUGCUCGGCGUCCAACAUGCCUGCUCUCCUUUUCCCAUGGCUGGGAAACACCCAGUGGUUCAUGGCUCUCCGAUCCUUUUGUAACGCUGCCGUUUGCCUGGGUUUUGGGUUCUCACUCAUUCUCAAUCUGAGACCCUUUCGCAGUCAGUGAAGCUGGGUAGCGAAGGUUUUGUUUGUACAAGUGGAAUUUGUGUUGACGCUUAUCGGAAACUCGAUGAGAGUUAUUGCAGCGAGUGAGUGAGUGAGUGAGUUAGUGCGUGAGUGAGUGAGUGAGUGAGUAAGCGAGCGAGGGAAGCCUGUGUUGUGAAUCGUAGUGAGAAUCUCUCUGGCGAUGGCUUCGGAGCCUGUAACCAAGGCGGGUGGAGCUAGCUCUGGAGGAAAUACGGAAAUUCCUCGUAUUAGAUGUCCUGCAUGCUUUAAGCAGUUUUCAACUGAUGAAAAUUUAGUGCGUCAUUUGGAGAAAGCUUGCCAUACAGAGCAUGAGCCUCAGUGUGGUGUGUGUCACAAACACUGCUUCUGCUUUGAAGCUCUUCGUGAACAUCUUCUUGGUCGUUUGGCUAAAAAGGAAUGUGCAGCCGAAUUUUCCAGAAGAGGCUGCAGUUUGUGCCUGGAUGUCCUGGAAAGUGAGGAAGCGCUUACAAAUCAUCGACUUAAAUGUCAGUUCAUGUCUGCCUGCCCAUCUGGAAAGGUGUUAACAACACCUAUGGAGCAGUCAAUAAAAGGGGCCAUAGACGCUCCGGAGGGAUCUGCCGAGGCGGCACAUUUUUCGGAAGAGCGUCAAUAUGGGGCUGUGGCCUUGGAUUGUGAGAUGGUUGGAGGAGGUAGCGAUGGCUCGAUCAACAUAUGCGCACGAGUUUGCUUGGUGGACGAGGAUGAAAAUGUCCUGCUCAACACCUAUGUCCAACCUCUUCUGCCAGUCACGGAUUACAGGUAUGAGAUAACUGGAAUCAAACCUUCAGAUUUUAACGGGGCACCAUCUUUCAAACGAGUGCGCUACAUUGUGAAACGUAUUUUAGAAGAUGGGCCACUCUUGAUAGGACAUGACUUGCGGCAUGAUCUAGCUUGCUUGCGCCUCGAUCACUCACCGGAGCUUAUCAGAUGGAGGGAUCGUAUUGUUGCAUCUGUUUUGGUAUUUCCUGAAUUUGAGACACUGCCACGUAUCAGCUAUUUGUGAAGACAAGCGGUGUUAGUCACAAGCUGCGGUUCCUGACAGAAGUUUUCUUGGGGUACAAGAUCCAGGACGGAACAAUUCAUGACCCUUGUGAAGAUGCCAUAGCUGCCAUGCGGUUGUACAAAAGGAUGCGAUCUCGAAGGCAUGCUGGGGCCUUGGUUCAUGUUUGUGACCUGUCUCAGUUGAGUCUUCAGCAUGUCGAUGCCCCACAGUGGUCAUAUUCAAGUGUGUAUUCCUACAGUGAACCCAGCUUUUACUGCUGGUGUGUGGAUUCUAAAACAUAAUUGGUUGAUGAUCUACCAUAUCAUCAAAUGGUUCGUAAUCCCUUCAGCUUAUCUUCUAUUUUGGUAGUUGGUUUGUUUGUAAGCUAGUGUCAGGAUAAGAUACUCUGGGGUUGCUCAACAACUUAACCCGAACAUUGUGCGUAUAUAUUUGGAUCAAAAGCAUGGGUGAAAUGUACUGUUCAAUAUGCUCGAUUUUUCGUGAAAGAUACUUUUAAGAAUUUCGUCA